RNAcentral lists this long non-coding RNA (964 nucleotides) under Canis lupus familiaris (dog). RNAcentral describes it as "lncRNA (ENSCAFG00000058337.1)". The record is from RNAcentral. Lineage: Eukaryota; Metazoa; Chordata; Mammalia; Carnivora; Canidae.
UAGAAGGUUAUCCCAGCAUGGGAUGAUCCCGAGGUAGAUGCGAAGAUGCUCGCGCACUGCGCUACCUGGUGGAGAGGGAAGAGCCAGUGUGGAAGGCUCGGCCGGACUCUCCCCACGGGUUCCCGCUCCAUGAGCGACCCCAGGGAGAGCUGAGAGCCCCAGGCCCCAGGCAUCUACAAGUGACUACAUUUCCCAGAGGUCUGUGCGCAACAGUAGGGGGGGCGGAGCCGCGCCUCUCCUCCCAGCCUCCGGUGUGCCGGCUGUUUUAAUCCAGAAAGCUUCGCCCCCACCCUCCCCACCCCCAUCCCCACCCGGGUCUCGCAAAGCUCCGCAGACGCGAGGGACGAACCAGCGCCGCCCGCGUGUCUGCAGAUCCUUAAACCUGUGCCGGCUCUCCGUGACCUCGAGUCAACUUGCAGGCUCAGUGGGACCUCCCCCUGCUCUUCUACCCUGGCUUCUGCAGCAGCCAAACUGAGCCACUCGAGCGGCUUCAGAGCUUUAACGUCUGGUCUUUGGGAACCUUUUCCACUGUCUGUUCUCCCUCUACCCCCUUGUGCUCACCCUGGACCCUGUCGUCUCAGAAGCAUGAUGUAUGGGGACUACAUCACCUAACCUCUCAGAGGCGCCUGUUGUGCUGCAUCUUACAGACAGAAUCUCAUGGAAACUGGGUUCCUGCUGUCACACAGGCCAUUCCGCAGAUUUUGGAUCCCAGGAUGGAGGCCACACACAGCCUGAAACUGCUCAGGAAGUUUACUGCCAAGCACUGGUGAGAUUUAGUUUGGUGUCGUUCUCUCUCUCUCUCUCUCUCUUUUUUAAGAUUUUGUUUAUUCAUGAGAGACACACAGAGAGAGGCAGAGACAUAAGCAGAGGGAGAAGCAGGCUCCAUGUAGGGAGCCCGAUACGGGACUUGAUCCCAGGACCCCAGGAUCACGCCCUGGGCCAAAGGCAGACGCUCAACCACUGA